Molecule: long non-coding RNA, 572 nt
Organism: Nycticebus coucang (slow loris)
Lineage: Eukaryota; Metazoa; Chordata; Mammalia; Primates; Lorisidae
Exons: 3
Source: RefSeq, a predicted model, not a curated record
GCUUUCUUGAAAAAUUCACUAAAAGAUGGAUACCAGACAACACAGAAAUGAAUCAAAAUAAAGAACUCACAAAUAAAGAAACUGUUCUCUUUUCACACAAAUGUCGGUGUUACACUAAACCAACUCUGUUCAGAACAUCUGAAGGAGGAAGGAGGCAGAGGAAAGCCUUGAGUCUGGCUUUAAGGAGGGAGGCAGGGAGCCUGCACUAAGGAACACAGGAAGCAGCCUCCAGAAGCCAGGGGCAGCUUUCUGCCGACAGACAGCAAGGAAGCAGGGACCUCUGUCCUCAGUCUGGGGGAGGUCUGGGGAAGAGCCUUCCAAGCAUCGAGAACAGGAACUGUGAGGGUCUUGCACUGGGAGCCAGUGAGGCGCAUCUGAGGAACAGCAAAGGAGGCCGGUCUGGCUGACACAGAGCGAGAACUGAGCAGAUCUGUAGGAGAGGAUGCCGGAACAGAAUUUCCUAUAGAGAUUCAGCUACCCAUCACAUCAUUAGAGCUUCUGAAAUCCAUAACAAGCAACAAGUUAUUAGAUACAAGUAAUGGACACAAGAAUGGAGAAGCAAGAAUCCAGUG